This 405-nucleotide long non-coding RNA is filed under the name Gossypium barbadense (sea-island cotton). RNAcentral's name for it is "long non-coding RNA (GBAR_LNC018553)". The record is from RNAcentral. Lineage: Eukaryota; Viridiplantae; Streptophyta; Magnoliopsida; Malvales; Malvaceae.
CAAUCAAAACCAAGCUAACUCGUUAUUGGCCCUAAACAACCACGCCUCUUCAGUGGAUUGAACCAUCUUCGAGCUCAUGCCAAGUUAGAGAUCUGUUGCCCACCAACCAUUUGGGCUCCUUCCCUUUAAAUAGAAAUGAAAGAUAUUCCUAACUCUGAGAAGCCUUCUUAACUCUAAAAUAUGCUUAGGAUUUAACUUUUCAAUUUGCACUAUAACGAUCUACAUAUCUAAAUGUUGGGCCUGGAGCCAAACAGAUUCCUUAGGAAUUGACCAUUUUGUGGGUAAAUGAAAGUUGCUGGUGAGUUUACUUUUUACUAAAAUUUGUUAUGAUCUAGAAAAAAGGUUAGAAGCCUAAUAUUUAAGUAUAGGUUCAUGACCCUGGUGAACGAUAAAGUAGACCAUCCC